GAUGAACGCUGGCGGCGUGCUUAACACAUGCAAGUCGAACGAUGAAGCCCAGCUUGCUGGGUGGAUUAGUGGCGAACGGGUGAGUAACACGUGAGUAACCUGCCCUUAACUCUGGGAUAAGCCUGGGAAACUGGGUCUAAUACCGGAUAGGAGCGUCCACCGCAUGGUGGGCGUUGGAAAGAUUUAUCGGUUUUGGAUGGACUCGCGGCCUAUCAGCUUGUUGGUGAGGUAAUGGCUCACCAAGGCGACGACGGGUAGCCGGCCUGAGAGGGUGACCGGCGACACUGGAACUGAGACACGGCCCAGGCUCCUACGGAAGGCAGCGGUGAAGAAUAUUGCACUAUGGGCGCAAGACUGAUGCAGCGACACCGCGUGAGGGAUGACGGCCUUCGGGUUGUAACCCUCUUUCAGUAGGGAAGAAGCGAAAGUAACGGUACCUGCAGAAGAAGCACCGGCUAACUACGUG
Molecule: ribosomal RNA, 466 nt
Filed under: uncultured bacterium
Lineage: Bacteria
Description: partial 16S ribosomal RNA
Rfam family: Bacterial small subunit ribosomal RNA
Source: RNAcentral